RNAcentral lists this ribosomal RNA (1328 nucleotides) under Arthrobacter sp. Its description in RNAcentral is "bacterial SSU rRNA". It matches the Rfam family "Bacterial small subunit ribosomal RNA", at positions 90 to 1428 of the family's 1533-position model. RNAcentral also lists the same sequence under 1 other name. Lineage: Bacteria; Bacillati; Actinomycetota; Actinomycetes; Micrococcales; Micrococcaceae. The record is from RNAcentral.
GAUUAGUGGCGAACGGGUGAGUAACACGUGAGUAACCUGCCCUUAACUCUGGGAUAAGCCUGGGAAACUGGGUCUAAUACCGGAUAUGACUCCUCAUCGCAUGGUGGGGGGUGGAAAGCUUUAUUGUGGUUUUGGAUGGACUCGCGGCCUAUCAGCUUGUUGGUGAGGUAAUGGCUCACCAAGGCGACGACGGGUAGCCGGCCUGAGAGGGUGACCGGCCACACUGGGACUGAGACACGGCCCAGACUCCUACGGGAGGCAGCAGUGGGGAAUAUUGCACAAUGGGCGAAAGCCUGAUGCAGCGACGCCGCGUGAGGGAUGACGGCCUUCGGGUUGUAAACCUCUUUCAGUAGGGAAGAAGCGAAAGUGACGGUACCUGCAGAAGAAGCGCCGGCUAACUACGUGCCAGCAGCCGCGGUAAUACGUAGGGCGCAAGCGUUAUCCGGAAUUAUUGGGCGUAAAGAGCUCGUAGGCGGUUUGUCGCGUCUGCCGUGAAAGUCCGGGGCUCAACUCCGGAUCUGCGGUGGGUACGGGCAGACUAGAGUGAUGUAGGGGAGACUGGAAUUCCUGGUGUAGCGGUGAAAUGCGCAGAUAUCAGGAGGAACACCGAUGGCGAAGGCAGGUCUCUGGGCAUUAACUGACGCUGAGGAGCGAAAGCAUGGGGAGCGAACAGGAUUAGAUACCCUGGUAGUCCAUGCCGUAAACGUUGGGCACUAGGUGUGGGGGACAUUCCACGUUUUCCGCGCCGUAGCUAACGCAUUAAGUGCCCCGCCUGGGGAGUACGGCCGCAAGGCUAAAACUCAAAGGAAUUGACGGGGGCCCGCACAAGCGGCGGAGCAUGCGGAUUAAUUCGAUGCAACGCGAAGAACCUUACCAAGGCUUGACAUGAACCGGAAAUACCUGGAAACAGGUGCCCCGCUUGCGGUCGGUUUACAGGUGGUGCAUGGUUGUCGUCAGCUCGUGUCGUGAGAUGUUGGGUUAAGUCCCGCAACGAGCGCAACCCUCGUUCUAUGUUGCCAGCGCGUUAUGGCGGGGACUCAUAGGAGACUGCCGGGGUCAACUCGGAGGAAGGUGGGGACGACGUCAAAUCAUCAUGCCCCUUAUGUCUUGGGCUUCACGCAUGCUACAAUGGCCGGUACAAAGGGUUGCGAUACUGUGAGGUGGAGCUAAUCCCAAAAAGCCGGUCUCAGUUCGGAUUGGGGUCUGCAACUCGACCCCAUGAAGUCGGAGUCGCUAGUAAUCGCAGAUCAGCAACGCUGCGGUGAAUACGUUCCCGGGCCUUGUACACACCGCCCGUCAAGUCACGAAAGUUGGUAACACCCGAAGCC